GGCUGCAGAACUCGCUCGUGUCAAGUUGGUUGGCGCGGCAAAGCGGCAAUCAGCUGUGUGGUUAUCCAGUUAUACAGUUAACCCAUAGACUACAAAUUGUGUUAGCAGUUACUUAUGCGUGUCAGUAUGUGAGUGUGAGUGAAUGCGUGAGUGCCGCCGACAGGCAAUCAAUACGAACUAGAAAAGGAGAGGGUCAAAGAGAGAGAGAGUAAAGGCGAGCAACAGCCGUCGGCAUUCAUACGGCAGGCCGCUAUUUAAAGUUGACGUUGAUGAUGUAUGGACAAUAGAUGUCGCCACUUAAAGCCGUUAACCAGCGGCCACGGAAGCAGACGGCGGAAAUUACAAAUGCGUUGACAGGCGGCUGCGAACAACCAAAACGGCUCAGCGGCUGCCAGCGACUGCAGCUGGAGAUGUCUACGCAACUUUGGCCGUGCCACGCGCGUUAUCAUUGGACACAUAAUUGCCCUCAAUCGGGCUAAAUGAAAACAACUCGUUGACGUUGCCGCCCCACAAAAAAAAAAAAAGAAGUGUUUCGAGUAAGAAAAGCCUACUACUAUAUCGUCUAUAAGUAAGCGCACACUCCGCUCAUAUAACAAUUAAGCGCAACGCGUCGCUUAAUUGAAAUGUUUCAAGGCAAACAAAUCAACGGGACAGACCGAAGCCCCAACAAAUUGUGGCACGCAAAUUGGAAUUUCAUUGUCUUCCACUGACAACGGCCAAUUUUGCCACGCCUUCGGAUGAACCAUGGUUAUACCAUAUCACAGAUAUACUGCCAGGAUCCUAAAUAAUCGUAUAUUUAUUAACUGCAAUAUACGCAAGAAUAUGGUCAGCAACUAAAUAAAGCACGUCCUUGCCCAACCCUACCCACCGACACAACAACAAUGUUUCCCAGUUGACCCACAUAUCCUUGGUCCUGCCAUACCAUAGA
Drosophila montana is the source of this 928-nucleotide long non-coding RNA. RefSeq lists it as uncharacterized. The transcript has 3 exons. Lineage: Eukaryota; Metazoa; Arthropoda; Insecta; Diptera; Drosophilidae. The record is from RefSeq and is a predicted model, not a curated record.